GACAGAGGGGGCAAGCGUUGCUCGGAAUCACUGGGCGUAAAGGGCGCGUAGGCGGGAUGGCAAGUCGGUCGUGAAAUCUCUCGGCUCAACCGAGAAACGUCGGCCGAUACUGCCGUUCUUGAGGGAUGCAGAGGAGACUGGAAUUCCAGGUGUAGCGGUGAAAUGCGUAGAUAUCUGGAGGAAUACCGGUGGCGAAGGCGGCAUCCUGGACCAUAACUGACGCUGAGGCGCGAAAGCUAGGGGAGCAAACGGG
RNAcentral lists this ribosomal RNA (253 nucleotides) under uncultured bacterium. RNAcentral describes it as "partial 16S ribosomal RNA". It matches the Rfam family "Bacterial small subunit ribosomal RNA", at positions 524 to 776 of the family's 1533-position model. The record is from RNAcentral.